GGGAGGAAGUAGUGAGGACUAGCCGAUACCUUGUUGGAAUCGGCAGCUGGGGAGAAAACCUGUACAGAUCACCUGAUCACAUCAAUGAGGAUGGAGGAGGACCGGAGUCAAAUGACUGAGAGGAUACUACACCUCACCCUGGAGAUCAUCUACCUGCUGACCGGAGAGAGGUUUUCUAUACCGAAGUUUGGAGACCAUAUGACCAUCACAGUGCCUCCAUGUGACUCCCUAAAACCUGAGAGACACAACAUGCAGAAGAUUCUAGAAGUCA
Molecule: long non-coding RNA, 271 nt
Organism: Rana temporaria (common frog)
Lineage: Eukaryota; Metazoa; Chordata; Amphibia; Anura; Ranidae
Exons: 3
Source: RefSeq, a predicted model, not a curated record